This 438-nucleotide ribosomal RNA is filed under the name uncultured bacterium. Its description in RNAcentral is "bacterial SSU rRNA". It matches the Rfam family "Bacterial small subunit ribosomal RNA", at positions 30 to 469 of the family's 1533-position model. The record is from RNAcentral.
AUUGAACGCUGGCGGCAUGCCUUACACAUGCAAGUCGAACGGCAGCACGGGAGCAAUCCUGGUGGCGAGUGGCGAACGGGUGAGUAAUAUAUCGGAACGUGCCCAGUCGUGGGGAUAACGUAGCGAAAGCUACGCUAAUACCGCAUACGAUCUAUGGAUGAAAGCGGGGGAUCGCAAGACCUCGCGCGAUUGGAGCGGCCGAUAUCAGAUUAGGUAGUUGGUGAGGUAAAGGCUCACCAAGCCGACGAUCUGUAGCUGGUCUGAGAGGACGACCAGCCACACUGGGACUGAGACACGGCCCAGACUCCUACGGGAGGCAGCAGUGGGGAAUUUUGGACAAUGGGCGCAAGCCUGAUCCAGCAAUGCCGCGUGCAGGAUGAAGGCCUUCGGGUUGUAACUGCUUUGUUACGGAACGAAACGGUAGAGGCUCUAAUACAG